GACAGAGGUGCCAAGCGUUAGGCGGAAUCACUGGGCUUAAAGCGUGUGUAGGCGGGCCGUUAAGUAUCUUGUGAAAUCCCCCGGCUCAACCGGGGAAUGGCUGGAUAUACUGGCGGUCUUGAGCAGUCUAGGGGCAGAUGGAACAGACGGUGGAGCGGUGAAAUGCGUAGAUAUCGUCUGGAACGCCAAAGGUGAAGACAGUCUGCUGGGGACUUGCUGACGCUGAGACACGAAAGCCAGGGGAGCGAACGGG
Molecule: ribosomal RNA, 253 nt
Filed under: uncultured bacterium
Lineage: Bacteria
Description: partial 16S ribosomal RNA
Rfam family: Bacterial small subunit ribosomal RNA
Source: RNAcentral